This 352-nucleotide long non-coding RNA is filed under the name Erythranthe guttata (spotted monkey flower). RNAcentral describes it as "long non-coding RNA (EGUT_LNC001645)". The record is from RNAcentral. Lineage: Eukaryota; Viridiplantae; Streptophyta; Magnoliopsida; Lamiales; Phrymaceae.
UCGAGAAUGUUUUCUCAAACCUUUAUGCUAUAUUGUUCGGACGGGAAAAUGGAAAGCAUUCAUUUCCACUAGCGUGUGAAAGAAGGGAAAAUACGAGGAAACGCGUCACCAUUGAUCUUGAGUUUUCGAUAUUGGAAAGAAAGAUAUAAAAAGGUAAGAAGAUUGGUUGAGUAUAUAAGUGUAAUUCUUCAUUUGACAUUUUCGAAAUCCACUUGAGAAAUUUUGAGCUUCCGACUUUGAAGGGAGGAUCUAUACUGACGAGAGGACUCGUUGCCUUUUAGCAAUAGGACCUCAAUAUCAAAUUCCACCAAACUUUUAUAUUCACUACUAUUCAGUAAUAUUUUUCUUCUCU